RNAcentral lists this long non-coding RNA (44272 nucleotides) under Hordeum vulgare. RNAcentral describes it as "long non-coding RNA (HVUL_LNC002969)". The record is from RNAcentral. Lineage: Eukaryota; Viridiplantae; Streptophyta; Magnoliopsida; Poales; Poaceae.
UUUUGGGGGCUGUUUGGCACACGGUUUUCUCUCUCUCUCGGCGCAGCCCUGCCCUUCUUCCUCCUCCUCUCUGUCGGUGCUUGGCGAAACCAUGCCGGGAGACCUCGUCUCUCCAUCGACACCACGCCGUCGUGCUGCUGGAGUUCUUCCCCAACCUCUCCCUCCUCCUUGCUAGAUCAAGGUGUGGGAGACGUCACCAGGUUGCACGUGUGUUGAACGCGGAGGUGCCGUAGUUCGGCACUAGAUCGGAAUUACACCGCGAUCGGAAUCGCCGCGAGUACGACUCCAUCAACCGCGUUCUAGUAACGCUUCUGCUUAGCAAUCUUCAAAGGUAUGAAGAUGCACUCACCCUCUCUCGUUGCUGGUCUCUCCAUAGGAAGGUCUGAAUAUGCGUAGGAAAUUUUUUGAAUUUAUGCUACGUUACCCAACAGUGGUAUCAGAGCCAGCUUUUCUAUGCGUAGAUUCUAUGCACGAAUAGAACACAAAAGGUUGUGGGCGAUGAUUUGUCAAUUGCUUGCCGCUACUAGUCUUAUUCUUUUCCAGCGGUAUUGUGGGAUGAAGCGGCCCGGACCGACCUUACAUGUACGCUUACGUGAGACUGGUUCCACCGACAGACAUGCACACCGUGCAUAAAGGUGGCUAGCGGGUGUCUGUCUCUCCUACCCUAGUCGGAUUGGAUUUGAUGAAAAGGGUCCUUAUGAAGGGUAAAUAUCUUUGGCAUAUCAUCGUUGUGGCUGUCACAUAGGUAAGAAAGCGUUCUUGCUAGAAACCCAAAUCAGCCACGUAAAACUUGCAACAACAAUUAGAGGACGUCUAACUUGUUUUUGCAGGGUUUGACAUGUGAUGUGAUAUGGCCAAAGUUGUGAUGUUGCAUGUGUGAUGUAUGAGCUGAUCAUGUUAUUGUAAUAGGUUUCACGACUUGCAUGUCGAUGAGUAUGAAAAUCGGCAGGAGCCAUAGGAUUUGUCUUAAUUUAUUGUAUGAGAUGCAACGCCAUGUGCUUACUACUUUUACUUCAUUGCUAACGGUUAGCUUUAGUAGUAGUGAUAGUAGUAGUUGGCGUGAUGACUUCACGGAGACACGAUGAUGAAGAUCAUGAUGAUGGAGAUCAUGGUGUCACGCCGGUGACGAUGAUGAUCAUGCGAUGCCUGAAGAUGGAGAUCGAAAGAGCAAAGAUGAUAAUGGCCAUAUCAUGUCACUAUAUGAUUGCAUUGUGAUGUUUAUCAUGUUUUUCAUCUUAUUGCUUAGAACAACGGUAGCAUAAUAAGAUGAUCCCUCUUAAAAUUUCAAGAACGUAUUCCCCUAAGUGUGCACCAUUGCGAAGGAUCGUUGUCUCGAAGCACCACGUGAUGAUCGGGUGUGAUAGAUUCUAACGUUCGCAUACAACGSRYGUMAGCCAGAUUUACACACGCGAAACACCUAGGUUGACUCGACGAGCUUAGCAUGUACAGACAUGACCUCGAAUACAAGAGACCGAAAGGUCGAACAUGAGUCGUAUGGUUGAAUACGAUCAGCAUGAAGUUGCUCACCAUGGUGACUAGUCCGUCUCACGUGAUGAUCGGACACGGGUUAGUCAACAUGGAUCAUGUAUCACUUAGAUGACUAGAGGGAUGUCAAUUUAAGUGGGAGUUCAUACUUAAUUUGAUUAAAUGAACUUAAUUGUCAUGAACUUAGUCUAAAAGUUGUCUUUAUUAAUAUUGUAGAUGUCCAACGUCAACCUCAACUUCAACGCAUUCCUAGAGAAAAACAAGCUGAAAGAUGAUGGUAGCAACUAUGCGGACUGGGUUCGCAACCUGAAGCUCAUCCUUGAAGCAGCUAAAAAGGCUUAUGUCCUUAAUGCGCCGCUAGGUGACCCUCCCGCUCCCGCAGCAGCCCAGGACGUUCUAAACGUCUGGCAAGCGCGGAGUGAUGACUACUCUGUGGUCAGGUGUGGCAUGUUAUACAGUUUAGAAACGGGGCUCCAAAGACGUUUUGAGCAACACGGGGCAUAUGAGAUGUUCCAAGAGCUGAAGCUAGUUUUUCAAGCUCAUGCCCGUGUCGAGAGAUAUGAAGUCUCCGACAAGUUCUUCAGUUGUAAGAUGGAGGAGAACAGUUCUGUCAGUGAGCACAUACUCAAAAUGUGUGGGUUACACGGUCGUCUGACUUCACUUGGAGUCGAACUUCCGGAUGAUGCUAUCAUUGACAGAAUCCUCCAGUCUCUCCCACCAAGCUACAAAGGCUUUGUGCUUAACUACAACAUGCAAGGGAUGGAGAAAACCAUUCCCGAGUUGUACUCGAUGCUCAAGUCUGCAGAAGUAGAAAUCAAGAAGGAGCAUCAAGUGUUGAUGGUCAACAAGACCACUAGUUUCAAGAAAGGCAGGGGUAAGAAGAACUUCAAGAAAGACGGCAAAGCUGUUGCCACGCCCGGUAAGCCAGAUGCCGGGAAGAAGAAAAAGAACGGACCCAAGCCUGAGACUGAGUGCUUCUACUGCAAGGGAAAAGGUCACUGGAAGCGGAACUGCCCCAAAUACUUAGCGGACAAGAAGGCCGGCAACGUUAAAGGUAUAUGUGAUAUACAUGUUAUUGAUGUGUACCUUACCAGCGCUCGUAGUAGCUCCUGGGUAUUUGAUACCGGUGCUGUUGCUCACAUUUGCAACUCAAAGCAGGAACUGCGGAAUAAGCGGAGACUGGCCAAGGACGAGGUGACGAUGCGCGUCGGGAAUGGUUCAAAGGUCGAUGUGAUCGCCGUCGGCACGCUACCUCUACAUCUACCGUCGGGAUUAGUUUUAAACCUUAAUAAUUGUUAUUUACUACCAGCUUUAAGCAUGAACAUUGUAUCAGGGUCUUGCUUAAUGCGAGACGGCUACUCAUUUAAGUCAGAGAAUAAUGGUUGUUCUAUUUAUAUGAGUGAUAUGUUUUAUGGUCAUGCUCCGCUGGUGAAUGGUUUAUUCUUGAUGAAUCUCGAUCGUGAUGUUACGAAUAUUCAUAGUGUGAGUACCAAAAGAUGUAAAGUUGAUAAUGAUAGUCCCACAUACUUGUGGCACUGCCGCCUUGGUCAUAUCGGCAUUAAGCGCAUGAAGAAGCUCCAUAUUGAUGGACUUUGAAUCAUUUGACACAUGCGAACCGUGCCUCAUGGGGAAUAUGACUAAGACUCCAUUCUCAGGAAUAAUGGAGAGAGCAACCGACUUAUUGGAAAUAAUACAUACCGAUGUGUGUGGUCCAAUGAACGCUGAAGCUCGUCGUGGUUAUCGUUAUGUUCUCACUCUCACCGAUGACUUGAGUAGGUAUGGGUAUAUCUACUUGAUGAAGCACAAAUCUGAGACGUUUGAAAAGUUCAAGGAAUUUCAGAGUGAGGUCGAGAAUCAACGUGACAGAAAAAUUAAGUGUCUACGAUCUGAUCGUGGAGGAGAAUAUUUGAGUCACGAGUUUGGCACACACCUAAGGAAGUGUGGAAUCAUUUCACAACUGACGUCACCUGGCACAACGCAACGCAACGGAGUGUCUGAAUGUCGUAAUCGCACUUUAUUAGAUAUGGUACGAUCUAUGAUGUCUCUUACCGACUUAUCGCUAUCAUUUUGGGGAUACGCAUUAGAAACUGCAGCAUUCACUUUAAAUAGGGCACCGUCUAAAUCUGUUGAGACGACACCGUAUGAACUAUGGUUUGGCAAGAAACCUAAGUUGUCGUUUCUUAAAGUUUGGGGCUGCGAUGCUUAUGUGAAGAAACUUCAACCAGAAAAGCUCGAACCCACAGCGGAGAAAUGUGUAUUCAUAGGAUACCCUAAGGAAACUAUUGGGUAUACCUUCUAUCUUAGAUCCGAAGGUAAAACCUUUGUUGCCAAGAACGGAUCCUUUCUAGAGAAAGAGUUUCUCUCGAAAGAAGUAAGUGGGAGGAAGGUAGAACUUAAUGAGGUAAUUACACCCCCUCUCGAACAGGAUAGUAGCGCAGCGCGGGAAGUUGUUCCUGUGGCGCCUACACCAACUGAAGAGGAAGUUAAUGAUGACAAUCAUGAAGCUUCGGAUCAAGUUACUACUGAACCGCGAAGGUCCACAAGGGCACGCUCCGCACCAGAGUGGUACGGCAACCCUGUGAUGGAAAUCAUGCUGUUAGACAACGGUGAACCUUCGAACUAUGAAGAAGCGAUGGCGGGCCCGGAUUCCAACAAAUGGCUUGAGGCUAUGAAAUCCGAGAUAGGAUCCAUGUAUGAGAACAAAGUAUGGACUUUUGUGGACUUGCCCGAUGACCGGCGAGCCAUAGAAAAUAAAUGGAUCUUCAAGAAGAAGACUGAUGCAAACGGUAAUGUAACCGUUUACAAAGCUCGACUUGUCGCAAAGGGUUUUCGACAAAUUCAAGGAGUUGACUACGAAGAGACUUUCUCUCCCGUAGCGAAGCUGAAAUCAGUCUGAAUCAUGUUAGCAAUUGCCGCCUUUUAUGAUUAUCAAAUUUGGCAAAUGGACGUCAAAACAGCAUUCCUUAACGGGAACCUUAAGGAAGAGUUGUAUAUGAUGCAACCAGAAGGUUUUGUCGACCCUAAGGGUGCUAACAAAGUGUGCAAGCUCCAGCGCUCCAUCUAUGGGCUGGUGCAAGCAUCUCGGAGUUGGAACAUUCGCUUUAAUGAGGUGAUUGAAGCGUUUGGGUUCAUACAUGUUUAUGGAGAAGCCUGUCUGUACAAGAAAGUAAGUGGGAGCUCUGUAGCUUUCCUCAUACUGUAUUUGGAUGACAUAUUAUUGAUGGGGAACAAUACAGAAAUGUUGGAGAGCAUAAAGGCCUAUUUGAACAACAGUUUUUCAAUGAAGGACCUUGGAGAAGCUGCAUACAUAUUAGGCAUCAAGAUCUAUAGAGAUAGAUCGAGACGCCUCAUAGGUCUUUCGCAAAGUACAUACCUUGACAAGAUAUUGAAGAAGUUCAAUAUGGAAAACUCAAAGAAAGGGUUCUUGCCUGUUUUGCAAGGUAUGAGAUUGAGUAAGACUCAGUCGCCGACCACGGCAGCAGAUAGAGAGAAGAUGAGUUCUGUCCCCUAUGCUGCAGCCGUGGGCUCUCUAAUGUAUGCCAUGCUGUGUACCAGACCUGAUAUAAACCUUGCCGUAAGCUUGGUAGGGAGGUACCAAAGUGAUCCCGGUAUGGAACACUGGACAGCGGUCAAGAAUAUCCUUAAGUACCUGAAAAGGACUAAGGAAAUGUUUCUCAUUUAUGGAGGUGACGAAGAGCUCGUCGUAAAGGGUUACGUCGACGCUAGCUUCGACACAGAUCCAGAUGACUCUAAAUCACAGACCGGAUACGUAUAUGUGUUGAAUGGUGGGGCAGUGAGCUGGUGCAGCAGGAAGCAAGAAGUCGUGGCAGCAUCUACAUGUGAAGCGGAGUACAUAGCUGCUUCAAAAGCAGCUCAUGAAGGAAUUUGGAUGAAGGAGCUCAUCACCGACCUUGGAGUGGUUCCAAGCGCGUCGGGUCCAAUGACACUCUUCUGUGAUAACACUGGGGCCAUUGCCAUAGCCAAGGAGCCCAGGUUUCACCGGAAGACGAAGCACAUCAAACGCCGCUACAACUCCAUCCAGGACCAUGUCCAGAGUGGAGUGAUAGAUAUUUGUAAAGUACACACGGAUCUGAAUAUUGCAGACCCGUUGACUAAACCUCUUCCACGAGCAAAACAUGAUCAACACCAUAAUGCUAUGGGUGUUCGAUACAUCACAAUGUAACUAGAUUAUUGACUCUAGUGCAAGCGGGAGACUAUUGGAAAUAUGCCCUAGAGGCAAUAAUAAAAUGGUUAUUAUCAUAUUUCCUUGUUCAUGAUAAUCGUCUAUUGUUCAUGCUAUAAUUGUAUUAACAGGAAACAGUAAUACAUGUGUAAAUAGAUCACAAUGUGUCCCUAGCAAGCCUCUAGUUGGCUAGCUCGUUAGUCAAUAGAUGAUCAUGGUUUCCUGAUCAUGGGCAUUAGAUGUCAUUGAUAACGGGAUCACAUCAUUGGGAGAAUGAUGUGAUGGACAAGACCCAAUCCUAAGCAUAGCACUAGAUCGUAUUGUUCGUAUGCUAAAGCUUUUCUAAUGUCAAGUAUCUUUCCUUCGACCGUGAGAUUGUGCAACUCCCGGAUACCGUAGGAGUGCUUUGGGUGUAUCAAACGUCACAACGUAACUGGGUGACUAUAAAGGUGCACUACGGGUACCUCCGAAAGUGUCUGUUGGGUUGGUACAAAUCGAGAUCGGGAUUUGUCACUCCGUGUGACGGAGAGGUAUCUCUGGGCCCACUCGGUAGAACAUCAUCAUGAGCUCAAUGUGACUAAGGAGUUAUUCACACGAUGAUGUUCUACGGAACGAGUAAAGAGACUUACCGGUAACGAGAUUGAACAAGGUAUAGGUAUACCGACGAUCGAAUCUCGGGCAAGUUCUAUACCGACAGACAAAGGGAAUCGUAUAGGGGAUUAAUUGAAUCAUUGACAUCGUGGUUCAUCCGAUGAGAUCAUCUGGAGCAAGUGGGAGCCACCAUGGGUAUCCAGACCCCGCUGAUGGUUAUUGGCCGGAGAGGCGUCUCGGUCAUGUCUGCCUGUCUCCCAAACCCGUAGGGUCUACACACUUAAGGUUCGAUGACGCUAGGAUUAUAGGGAAUUGUUAUACGAGGUUACCGAAAGUUUUUCAGAGUCCCGGAUGAGAUCCCGGACGUCACGAGGAGCUCCGGAAUGGUCCGGAGGUAAAGAUUGAUAUAUAGGACGGAUGGUUUCGGAUACCGAAAGUGUUUCGGGCAUCACCUGGACCGCCGGGACCACCGGAGGUGGUCCCGGGGGUCCACCGAAGGGGUGCAACGACCCCGGGAGGUAAGGUGGGCCAAGUGGGGAAGGGAACCAGCCCCUAGGUGGGCUGGUGCGCCUCCCCACUCAGCCCAAUGUGUGGGGGAGAGAAAAGGGGGGCAAACCCUAAGCCAGGUGGGCCUAAGGCCCACCAGGUUGUGCGCCACCCCUCCCCACCCUAGCCGCCGCCCCCCUUUCCCAUCUGGUGGAUGCUGGCCCCUAGGGAGGGAACCCUAGGGGUGGCGCAGCCCCUCCCCCUCCUCCUAUAAAUAGAGAGGGGGUUUUUGGCCCCUUGGGAGACAGACUUCUCCCUCUCCCUCGGCGCAGCCCUGCCCUUCUUUCUCCUCCUCUGUGUUGGUGCUUGGCGAAGCCCUGCCGGGAGACCUCGUCUCUCCAUCGACACCACACCGUCGUGCUGCUGGAGUUCUUCCCCAACCUCUCCCUCCUCCUUGCUGGAUCAAGGUGCGGGAGACGUCACCGGGCUGCACGUGUGUUGAACGCGGAGGUGCCGUAGUUCGGCACUAGAUCGAAAUCACACCGCGAUCCGAAUCGCUGCGAGUACGACUCCAUCAACCGUGUUCUAGUAACGCUUCCGCUUAGCGAUCUUCAAAGGUAUGAAGAUGCUCUUACCCCUCUCUCGUUGCUGGUCUCUCCAUAGGAAGAUUUGAAUAUGCGUAGGAAAAUUUUGAAUUUAUGCUACGUUACCCAACAACCAACUCAAUUAAGGCAUCCUCAUAGUCGGACAGAAAAGCUUUGAAUAGCAAGGGAAUGCGGAUGUUGUGUCGCCCUCUCUUUGUAUGCCACGAGCCUUCCUCUGAAAAACAUACUAAUCCGACCUUCUUGGCCCUGGAGAUACGCAUAGUCCAAUUAAAUCUCCUACUCCAAUUGUGGAUAUCCAACAACUGCUUUCUUAUUAUACCAACUUAGAUGCUCAGUGCUGCUAUUGGCAUAACAACCGGUACACCAUAGGUUGACCCAACCCAGUCCUCCGUUUGGAUUUCGAGUCCAAAAAGGCCCAGCGAAAGAGGAUUUUCAGUCCUAUGCCCGCUUUUUCGGCUAGUAUUUUUUAUUAUCACAACACUUCUUCUUAGACUGGACUACUUAUCAUUACAAGGCCGCUACGUUUCACUUCAGGGACUUUUUAUUUGACUAGGAAGUGCAGCAUUGCUACAUUCCCCAUAGGGUUGGCGCCCCUCUUCCCUAGUACAAAUUUAAUCAUAGCAAGGGAUAAGCUAUCUUAAAACCUACUAUCAAUCUGUUUAUAUAACGCAAUACACCUACCUUUUUUCUUUAAGCACUGAACAUCCGGAUCCCCUUCCUAUUAUUUUAACUAGAUAUAAAAACCAUAAGGAUUGUUUCCAACCGAGAGUUCUCAUAUGACAUAGGUGCUCUUGGGUGGGGUGGCCCCUCAUUCGCCAGGUCUUUGAGUGCACAUCGUACCACGUGGUUGGUAUAAGUGUGUGUAUAGAAAUCCUUCUUUUCACAACCAUGCAGAAACCAAAGUGCCGCUGAAACGUGAAAUCCAUGCACCAAAAAGUUAGAGUUCAUCAAUUUGUGAAUUAUGGACUUGGCGGUAGUGGUCAAUACUAACUGCGCCGUUUGAAUGCUCAUUGACCAAGUUUAUGUAACGAGAAAUGCUGUGAAAAUCACGAUCGCCUACCAGUGGAAGGCUUUCUGCAUUCAGUCAAUCUAAUAUUAAUUCGAGUAUCAACUCACGUCAACCAGUUGUCAAACUCCAAAUAUUUCGUUCAUAGGGGCAUGAAGAAGUUGCUAAAUCGGUUGUACAUUUUCUCGCUCUCCCCCUCUUUUUUCAAGAAUAAAUGAGCCACUCGGACCUUCCAUUUCCGUCAACCCGGGGUACAAAAGUAAUGGGUCAGCUUAUGAUUUUAGGCAUGGUAACUAGAGGGAUCGUCCCUACCUAUCUUCGCAAGAUCGGAUUAGUAUGGUAAACAAAACCAUUCAAAGUUUGAGAGCACUUCCUCCGUUAGAUGGAGAUUAGAACUAAGCUCUAUGCAGAAACAAUACCACACUUAUCUAGGAAUAGCAUGAUAGGGAGCACGAAGGUGAAUUGGAAAGAGAAAUACAUACACGUCUUUAGGGAAGGUUCGUUGGUAGAAAUCAAAGGGGAAGAAGGCCGCCCCAUCGAAAGGAUUGACACACCAAAAGGGCCACCAUCUUUCGAGUAAGAAAACAACUUGACAUUGUGAUCCCCAAGAAGAGGUUCGUAUUAUAGUAGAUUUGUUUUCCCUUUCCAAGUUCAAACCUACUUUGCUUUAAGUCGGUUUUACUUUUUAACGUCGUCUACGGAGAGACAAGAUCUUCGAAUGCUACAAAAUGUCUCUCUCAAUCCCUAAAAAAAGCCUAUCUUUUUUUGCGGGGGACAACCAUGCUUGUCAAGCCGCCUCCCUCAUUCGUUGUCAACAACUCUAAGGUCUCUGGUAAAAAAACACAAUUCUAAGGGCCUCUUUGCAGCAUGGGAUUUUCGUAUCGAUUUUGAAAAUUUCGAAUUUGAAGGAUUUUUUUGUUGUCGAAGCCCUUUGGAGUGUAGGAUUAGGACUAAUAAUUUUCUAUGGAAUUUAUUCCUAUGCCCCUGAUUUCGUAGGAAUCUUAACGUAACCUCAAACCUCAUUUUAUUUUAUUUUCUUCAAGAAAUCCAGUCAGUUCUACUUUAUCUCUCAUUCCCUCUCUUCUCGAUGCUUUAAGAUGUCACAAUCAGACCCUAUUCCUGCAUUUUCAAAGUCGUGCAAUGCAAAGAGGCCCUUAAGACGCCUUUUCAAUAUUAUUUUGUAGGAAAAAGAAAGCAUUCUAUAACCGGUGGUUUCGAAGAACACUCGUUACAUAUGAUAGAGGAAAUAAGGCAUGGAACGUCAUUCUAAUGAUCAUAUCUUUGUAAGUUCUAGGAAUCUAACAAGCUCAUGAGUAGUGGCAUUGCUCUCUCUUUGAAUUAACAUCAUAACACACUCCUCAAAUCUUUUAAUAUGCUCUCGAGCAUCAAUUUAGGUGGCAAAGUAGCUAGAUCUUUCCCAGAGUCCGUAUCACAGUCCCUCUCGCUCACCGACACGGGGCAAUCUUAUCUAUGAGUAUCCUAUGAUGGUGCAAACCAUAGUCAAUUUUACUCUCAAACUUAAGGGCAUCUCUAACUAAACUUUUAAAAUUUAUCAUCUCAAAAGCCUCCUUAAACCUUAACACCUCAAAUUUGAGGGGGGAAGGGUUCAGACGUCAAUGAUGACUAGAUGUCUCGAUUUAGGCGCAGAUGAAGGGUGGCAAUCGAAUCGAAGUGGAACACGUGCACAGGGGGUGGCUGGCUGCUGUUGAGGUUGUGUGGUGGCUGACGGGGGCAAGGAGGAUGGUGUCAGCGUGAAGCUGGUCGAGCCUGAGAGGGAGACAGUCACACGAGGAAGGGUAAUCUUUUACAAAGAAGUUGUUUUGACUCCUCAAAAUUAGGAGACAACUGACACAUUUCCUAACAAUUUUGAGAAUUCAAUUGGAUCUGAUUUAACUCUCAAAACGAAUCUUUUAAUAAGAAGUUAAAUCCCCUUGAGGCUUCAAUUAGAUCAACUCCAACCGAGCUACACAAGCGGACACUGGUUUUGUCCGUUUUUGCCCGUUUGGGUCGCCCGUUCGUUCAUCUGUGUCCAUUUUUUUGUUUGGGUUCGCAGGUGCAUCCAACGGGGACGGACGACACAUUUUCUAACAUGUUCGCCCGACAUUCAGUCGAAUAUCUGGUGGGAGAGCUCCCGCCUCCUUGCAGCUCCCACCUGCCGCACCGGCGUGCUGCCGCAUACCCGACGCGCCCGCGAGCUCGCCUCCGCCCUGCCCUCGCCAUCGGGGGCGAGCUCUACAUCCUCGAUGGCGCCACCAAAGAUGGCGGCCCCAUGCUCUGCCAACACCACCACGCGGGCCGUGCCACACCGGGGCUACGAGGUCUUCAUCCUCGACUCCGACAGCUUCCAGGUGCGCAACGGCGACGGGCAUGCCAUUGAAAAACACAAUAACGACGGUUUCGGGCAGCACGUGCUCUGCACGGCCAUGAGAUCAACAAACUCGCAUGAUGGAUGAGAGAGAGAGAGAUAGACAAAGAUGGGAUGGAUCAGUGAAUGACAUGUGGGGUAGGCGGGACAUGCAAGAGACACACACGAACGAGGAGGACGCAAAAAGUCUGCUUUGCGUCCGCCUCCGAUCUCAAUAUGGUUUAAAUUUAAGAUCGAAAUGGACCGUCGUGGACACGAAGGAGAAAUGAUUUGAAACUGGGUCACCGUUUUUAUUUGCAAAGAUUAAAAGAACAUGGGCACAAGAAAUGGGUGACAAGGUUGGAGUUGCUCAAGAUGCCCUCACACAGGUUUUUUCACUGUUUUGACCCGAGGGGGAAAGUUAAUCACGGAACGAACUCGUUUGGAAACAAUUUCACGUUUUGACCCUUUUGAAACGCCAUAGUCCGUGGCGUUGCAGCUCUACAGAGAAACGCCACUCUAAUGUGGCGUUUCUGGACAUGCACAAAACGCCUAACUAGUGUGGCGUUUCUGGACGUGUGAAACGCCAGACACUGUGGCGUUGCGGGCCUGAGAUGAAACGCCAUGCUGUUGGGUAACGUAGCAUAAAUUCAAAAAAUUUCCUACGCAUGUUCAGAUCUUCCUAUGGAGAGACCAGCAACGAGAGAGGGGUAAGAGCAUCUUCGUACCUUUGAAGAUCGCUAAGCGGAAGCGUUGCUAGAACGCGGUUGAUGGAGUCGUACUCGCAGCGAUUCCGAUCUAGUGCCGAACAACGGCACCUCCGCGUUCAACACACGUGCAGCCCGGUGACGUCUCCCGCACCUUGAUCCAGCAAGGAGGAGGGAGAGGUUGGGGAAGAAGACCAGCAACACGACGGCGUGGUGUUGGUGGAGAGACGAGGUCUCCCGGCAGGGCUUCGCCAAGCGCCGGCAGAGAGGAGGAGGAAGAAGUGCAGGGCUGCGCCGAGGGAGAGGGAAAAAUGUGUCCUCCAAAGGCCAAAAGUGCCCACUAUAUAUAGGGGAAGGGGAGAGGGGGUGCCACCCCUAGGGUUCCCACCCUAGGGGGUGCGUCAGCCCUCCCAGAUAAGGAAAGUGGCGGCCAGAUGGGGAGGAGGGGGUGGCGCACCCCUCUGGUGGGCCUAAGGCCCACCUAAGUUAGGGUUCCCCCCCUCUUUUUCUUCCCCUGCGCCAUGGGCUGAGUGGGGAGGCGCACCAGCCCAACUAGGGGCUGGUUCCCACCCCCACUUAGCCCAUCUUACCUCUUGGGGUCGCAGCCCCCCUUCGGUGGUCCCCCGGGACCACCUCCGGUGGUCCCGGUACGUUACCGGUGAUGCCCGAAACACUUCCGGUGUCCGAAACCAUCCGUCCUAUAUAUCAAUAUUUACCUUCGGACCAUUCCGGAGCUCCUCGUGACGUCCGGGAUCUCAUCCGGGACUCCGAACAACUUUCGGUAAUCUCGUAUAACAAUUCCCUAUAACCCUAGCGUCAUCGAACCUUAAGUGUGUAGACCCUACGGGUUCGGGAGACAGGCAGACAUGACCGAGACACCUCUCUGGCCAAUAACCAUCAGCGGGGUCUGGAUACCCAUGGUGGCUCCCACUAGCUCCACGAUGAUCUCAUCGGAUGAACCACGAUGUCAAGGAUUCAAUCAAUCCCGUAUACGAUUCCCUUUGUCUGUCGGUAUAGAACUUGCCCGAGAUUCGAUCGUCGGUAUACCUAUACCUUGUUCAAUCUCGUUACUGGUAAGUCUCUUUACUCGUUCCGUAGCACGUCAUCGUGUGACUAACUCCUUAGUCACAUUGAGCUCAUGAUGAUGUUCUACCGAGUGGGCCCAGAGAUACCUCUCCGUCACACGGAGUGACAAAUCCCGAUCUCGAUUCGUGCCAACCCAACAGACACUUUCGGAGGUACCCGUAGUGCACCUUUAUAGUCACCCAGUUACGUUGUGACGUUUGAUACACCCAAAGCACUCCUACGGUAUCCGGGAGUUGCACAAUCUCACGGUCGAAGGAAAAGAUACUUGACAUUAGAAAAGCAUUAGCAUACGAACAAUACGAUCUAGUGCUAGGCUUAGGAUUGGGUCUUGUCCACCACAUCAUUCUCCCAAUGAUGUGAUCCCGUUAUCAAUGACAUCCAAUGUCCAUGAUCAGGAAACCAUGAUCAUCUAUUGACCAACGAGCUAGCCAACUAGAGGCUUGCUAGGGACACAUUGUGAUCUAUUCAUUCACACAUGUAUUACUGUUUCCUGUUAAUACAAUUAUAGCAUGAACGAUGGACGAUUAUCAUGAACAAGGAAAUAUGAUAAUAACCAUUUUAUUAUUGCCUCUAGGGCAUAUUUCCAAUAGUCUCCCACUUGCACUAGAGUCAAUAAUCUAGUUACAUUGUGAUGUAUCGAACACCCAUAGCAUCAUGGUGUUGAUCAUGUUUUGCUCGUGGAAGAGGUUUAGUCAACGGGUCUGCAAUAUUCAGAUCCGUGUGUACUUUACAAAUAUCUAUCACUCUAGUUUGGACAUGGUCCUGGAUGGAGUUGUAGCGGCGCUUGAUGUGCUUCGUCUUUCGGUGAAACCUGGGCUCCUUGGCUAUGGCAAUGGCUCCAGUGUUGUCACAGAAGAGUGUCAUAGGACCCGACGCGCUUGGAACCACUCCAAGGUCGGUGAUGAGCUCCUUCAUCCAAAUUCCUUCAUGAGCCGCUUCUGAAGCAGCUAUGUACUCCGCUUCACAUGUAGAUGCUGCCACGACUUCUUGCUUGCUGCUGCACCAGCUCACUGCCCCACCAUUCAACACAUAUACGUAUCCGGUCUGUGAUUUAGAGUCAUCUGGAUCUGUGUCGAAGCUAGCGUCGACGUAACCCUUUACGACGAGCUCUUCGUCACCUCCAUAAAUGAGAAACAUUUCCUUAGUCCUUUUCAGGUACUUAAGGAUAUUUUUGACCGUUGUCCAGUGUUCUGCACCGGGAUUACUUUGGUACCUCCCUACCAAGCUUAUUGCAAGGUUUAUAUCAGGUCUGGUACACAGCAUGGCAUACAUUAGAGAGCCCACGGCUGAAGCAUAGGGGACAGAACUCAUCUUCUCUCUAUCUGUUGCCGUGGUCGGCGACUGAGUCUUACUCAAUCUCAUACCUUGCAAAACUGGCAAGAACCCUUUCUUUGAGUUUUCCAUAUUGAACUUCUUCAGUAUCUUGUCAAGGUAUGUACUUUGCGAAAGACCUAUGAGGCGUCUCGAUCUAUCUCUAUAGAUCUUGAUGCCUAAUAUGUAUGCAGCUUCUCCAAGGUCCUUCAUUGAAACACUCUUGUUCAAAUAGGCCUUUAUGCUCUCCAACAUCUCUAUAUCAUUCCCCAUCAACAAUAUGUCAUCCACAUAUAGUACGAGGAAAGCUACAGAGCUCCCACUCACUUUCUUGUACAGACAGGCUUCUCCGUAAACCUGUAUGAACCCAAACGCUUUAAUCACCUCAUUAAAGCGAAUGUUCCAACUCCGAGAUGCUUGCACCAGCCCAUAGAUGGAGCGCUGGAGCUUGCAUACUUUGUUAGCACCUUUAGGAUCGACAAAACCUUCUGGUUGCAUCAUAUACAACUCUUCCUUAAGAUUCCUGUUAAGGAACGCUGUUUUGACGUCCAUUUGCCAAAUUUCAUAAUCAUAAAAGGCGGCAAUUGCUAACAUGAUUCGGACUGAUUUCAGCUUCGCUACGGGAGAGAAAGUCUCUUCGUAGUCAACUCCUUGAAUUUGUCGAAAACCCUUUGCGACAAGUCGAGCUUUGUAAACGGUUACAUUACCGUUUGCAUCAGUCUUCUUCUUGAAGAUCCAUUUAUUUUCUAUGGCUCGCCGUUCAUCGGGCAAGUCCACCAAAGUCCAUACUUUGUUCUUAUACAUGGAUCCUAUCUCGGAUUUCAUGGCCUCAAGCCAUUUGUUGGAAUCCAGGCCCGCCAUCGCUUCUUCAUAGUUCGAAGGUUCACCGUUGUCUAACAACAUGAUUUCCAUCACAGGGUUGCCGUACCACUCUGGUGCGGAGCGUACCCUUGUGGACCUUCGUGGUUCAGUAGUAACUUGAUCCGAAGCUUCAUGAUCAUCAUCAUAAACUUCCUCUUCAGUUGGCGUAGGCACCACAGGAACAACUUCUUGCGUUGCGCUACUUUCCUGUUCGAGAGGGGGUGUAAUUACCUCAUCAAGUUCUACCUUCCUCCCACUUACUUCUUUCGAGAGAAACUCUUUCUCUAGAAAGGAUCCGUUCUUGGCAACAAAGGUUUUACCUUUGGAUCUAAGAUAGAAGGUAUACCCAAUAGUUUCCUUAGGGUAUCCUAUGAAUACGCAUUUCUCCGUUUUGGGUUCGAGCUUUUCUGGUUGAAGUUUCUUCACAUAAGCAUCGCAGCCCCAAACUUUAAGAAACGACAACUUAGGUUUCUUGCCAAACCACAGUUCAUACGGUGUCGUCUCAACGGAUUUAGACGGUGCCCUAUUUAAAGUGAAUGCUGCAGUUUCUAAUGCGUAUCCCCAAAAUGAUAGCGCUAAGUCGGUGAGAGACAUCAUAGAUCGUACCAUAUCUAAUAAAGUGCGAUUACGACGUUCAGACACUCCGUUGCGCUGCGGUGUGCCAGGCGGUGUUAGUUGUGAAACGAUUCCAUACUUCCUUAGGUGUGUGCCAAACUCGUGACUCAAAUAUUCUCCUCCACGAUCAGAUCGUAGACAUUUAAUUUUCCUGUCAUGUUGAUUCUCAACCUCACUCCGAAAUUCCUUGAACUUUUCAAACGUCUCAGAUUUGUGCUUCAUCAAGUAGAUAUACCCAUACCUACUCAAAUCAUCGGUGAGAGUGAGAACAUAACGAUAACCACCGCGAGCUUCAACGUUCAUUGGGCCACACACAUCAGUAUGUAUUAUUUCCAAUAAGUCGGUGGCUCUCUCCAUUAUUCCUGAGAAUGGAGUCUUAGUCAUCUUGCCCAUGAGGCACGGUUCGCAUGUGUCAAAUGAUUCGAAGUCAAGAGACUCUAGCAGUCCAUCAGUAUGGAGCUUCUUCAUGCGCUUAACGCCGAUAUGACCAAGGCAGCAGUGCCACAAGUAUGUGGGACUAUCGUUAUCAACUUUGCAUCUUUUGGUACUCACACUAUGAAUAUGUGUAACAUCACGAUCGAGAUUCAUCAAGAAUAAACCAUUCACCAGCGGAGCAUGACCAUAAAACAUAUCACUCAUAUAAAUAGAACAACCAUUAUUCUCUGACUUAAAUGAGUAGCCGUCUCGCAUUAAGCAAGACCCUGAUACAAUGUUCAUGCUUAAAGAUGGUACUAAAUAACAAUUAUUAAGGUUUAAAACUAAUCCCGACGGUAGAUGUAGAGGUAGCGUGCCGACGGCGAUCACAUCGACCUUUGAGCCAUUCCCGACGCGCAUCGUCACCUCGUCCUUGGCCAGUCUCCGCUUAUUCCGCAGUUCCUGCUUUGAGUUGCAAAUGUGAGCAACAGCACCGGUAUCAAAUACCCAGGAGCUACUACGAGCGCUGGUAAGGUACACAUCAAUAACAUGUAUAUCAUAUAUACCUUUAACGUUGCMGAAUUUCAUCACUAAGGAAAUUCCUUUUGAGGAAAUUCCUCACUGACGAAUAACGUGCAGCGGAAAUAGCGCAGGAUCAGAGGUGCAAAGACUACAACAUCAGUUUUCUUGAUGAGGAUUAUGAAAAACAGUUUGCACAGUGUGCAGACAGAGAAUAAGUAGGUGAGGAUUAACUGGUAUGAAGAAUUUGAGGUUGAGGAAAUUCAUAGAAAGUCUUCAACAAAUUCUUUAAACAGAGACAAUGAAAGUCUUCAACAUACAAUAUUGAGGAAUUGAAAGAGUUGAAGAAAUAGAACCCGUAUCACAGUGAAGACAGUUGUUGAUGACCCAGUUCCAACUGCUGUGACAAUCGUAUGUUUGGUUGCUAGCGGCCUGGUAUUGAAACCAAAGGACACACAGUCCCUACCAUAUUCUCUUUGAGCUAAGGACACACAGUCCUCGCCCAACACUCGUGGUAAGUCUUCAGGGCAGACUUCCAAACCCUCACAAACUCGGUCACCCGGCGAUCAACAAUUGACUGCUCGAUUGCUCUAGACCAUGACGCCUAACCGUCUGGAGGAUGCACAGUCCUUAAAGGAAAAAGGCUUCGGUUCCACACAGUAACAAAUUCUCCAGUGAUGCUCAAUCACUUGGUUUAGGUUUGUGGUUUGGUGUAUGGGGUAUUUCCUCACUGAUGAUUUACUCUCAAAGACUGUGAGGAAUUUGGGUUGCUCUAAAUGACAAGUGUCAGUUUCUCGUGGAGCAGCCAACCGGCUAAUGGUUGUGGGGGCGGCUAUUUUUAGCAUGGGAGCAUCCCGACAUGAUUUGACAUAAAUGCCCUUAAAUAUUAUGACCAUUGGUGUGGAUAAGUUUGGUGAUGUGGCACGAAUCGCGGCAACGGUCGAGACUCUCAACUGUGAGAGUCCUCAUGUCUCUCAUAUUCCUCACUUGAGGCUUUUGUAGUAUUAGGCUUGAGUUGAGCAUCACGAGGAAAUUCAUUCCGUAGUAUUACCUCGACCCCCUUUAACAGUACGGUGUUCCUAUAACUCGAGUGAAGAAAAUGAAACAUAAAGAAUAAAUCUUCACGCUUCAAAGUCUUCGGACUGAUUUUCUUCAGGACACACCGAAUUCCUCAUCUUCAAUAUCUUCAUGAGGAAUAUCAAUUUCAUCGCAAUUUCUUCGCGAUCAAAAUCUUCAGCAUAAGACCAAUUUUUUCAGCCGAAGAUAUACAUUUUUAGGGGUCGAUAUUCAUCGUAUAACUCAAACUCCUCAGCGACUUAUAGAGCCUGUGUACACUUAUAAACACAUUAGUUACUUAACGUAUAAGUCUUUAAAGCACUAAAAUCACUAAGGGCACUAGAUGCACUUACAAUCUCCUCCUUUUUGGCGGUUGAUGACAAUUAUGUUAAGUUUUCAACGGGAAUAAAAAUAUGAAGUGUAAAUACUGAGUUUGAGGAAUUUGAAAUCAAGAUAUUGAGAGACUCCCCCUGAAGAUGUGCAUAUUUUGAGGAUUUUGCUUUUCACAGCAAAUGCACAUUGAUGAUUUAUAUCAUGGAGAUCUCCCCCUGUAUCUUGUAAAUCAUGCAUACAUUUGACAUAUAAAAUGAGGAAUUUGAGAAUGCAUGAUGAAAAUUGGUAUCUCACGAAUUUUAGCAUGCGUGCAUUAAUAUUUUGAGGAAUAAUCAUACAAAGAAAAACGUUCAAAAGCGUCAGAGUACCAUCGGGCUUAAGUUACAACUCAUUACAUAAAACACUUUAGAAGAACCAAGAGUUUGUAACUUAAUAAAGUUCAUAAGCCCCAAAAUAUAUCAUGCAUGAAGACUAACUCAGAUUUCUCCCCUUUGUCAUCAAGUGACGAAAAGGGACAAAACUGAGGACUAACGCCCCAUGAAGACUUUCACUUCUUGGCUGAUGAAGAGGCGUGAGGAUUCUUGGCGACAUGCUUCUUCCUUAGACCAGUUGCAGUGUUUUCUGGUUCUUCAUCAGAUUCUGCAGUGCAAAUGAAGAAAAAGAACUGUCCUCAAGGUCAGGCACUGAAAUUGGCUUGAAUUUCUUCUUGGGAGGCCACGACCAGUCGAAGUCCUGAGUAAACUCCAAUUCAUCAAGUUCCUCUUGAGUCUUCAGAUGAGCCAAGGUGGCCCAAGUACGAUCAAACACCUCAUGAAGAUAAUAGUGAUUUUUCCUCACUACAUUCUGAGUCUCAUUGAGGGUUUUCACAAUGACACUGAAUUGAUGUUUUACCCAUCUGUGAUUACGAUCGACCUUCUGAUGAAGACUGAGGAGUAGCUCUCUGUUAGUCAUCACUCUUGGGGCAGUUGGGCUUGGUGGAUCUUGAGUGGCAGUGUCAUCAUAUGAAGAAUAUGACUCUGCUUCGGGAAACUGGCCAUCAAGAGGUCGAUUUCCUUCAUCAAUGACAUAUUUUCCUUUGCCUUCAACAUGCUCAAAUGUCUUCUUGAUGACUGUGAUGGGCCGCAGAUAUCCAAUGUGAUUAGGAAAAUCAUCAUGGUAGUUGAUGCCAGACCUGCUUCUGAUGAAUCUCAUGAUCCACGGAGCGUAAAUCUUCAUGUCGAAGGGCGACAGUGCAUUAUCAGCCAAAGUCCUCAGGAAGAAGUCGUGAAGGUUUACUGGUAUGCCAUGGAUGAUAUUGAAGAGGAUAUUCUUCAUGAUGCCUACGACAUCAUCUUCAUCAUCAUGGCCUUUGAUAGGAGGGAUGACAUUGGCCAGAAUUUUGUAGACCGUUCGUGGUUCAUACUUCAAGUCUUGAACCAGAAAGUGAGUCCUAGGAGGUUGGUUCUUGGCCAAAGCUUCAUGAGGACUUCCAUCAGUCUGUUGGGCAGCUCACCUUCAUCAUACAUCAGCACUGCAUUUUCUGAGGGAAUUGAGACAGGAAUUGCACGAAGCAAUUCAGUGGCUGGUGCUUUGUAGUGCAUGUGCUGAGUCAUCCAGUCCAACACCCAAGUGUUGACAUCCUUCGGGUCUCCAGAGAUAUGCAAAGUUGCGUAGAACUGAAGAAUUAUGUCACUGUUCCAGUCACCUAUGUUAGUGCAAAGAGGCAGCAUUCCGGCUUCAUGAAGAACAUUGAGGAUUGAAGUGAAGCAAGGAAUUUCUUCCAUGUCAACAUGAAGAAUAUGUGUGUGCUGAAAUAUUUUGUUCCUCCCACACAGCACAAAGGCAUAGUAGUUGAGCUGAGUCCUCGUCCAGAAUUUGCGAUGCCUGAUGCGAAGCUUAUCAUACGGAUUUGCGCCUGUGAAGUACAUACGUUCUUCAUAAAAAGCUUCCUUUUGAAACUUUGGCCUCCUUGAAAAAGGCUGAUUUUGCUGCGGCUGAAGAUUAUGUUGCUGUUCUUGAAGAGGAGCUACUAUGAUUGAUGUUUCUGUGUUGACCACAACAAUAGCAGUUUCGGUGCUAGGUGCAGAAGCAUUUUCUUCAUUCUGACCUUUUUCUUCAGGCUGAGGAUUUUUCUCACCUUGAGGGAUUUGCUUGGUGGAGGAGGCAAAAUCAUCAGCUGAUGCAGCUGAUCCUUGCGCAGAUUCAUCACAGACGGUCUUCCCAUCAGAUCCUGUGAGGAUUUUUGUUGCAGCAGGAGUAGGAGGGAUUUGGGUUGACCUUGGUGAGCGAUGAGUCUCUUCCUAGAAGUCAUCAUGAAAGACUGGAGUGGUGCAAUCAAUGUCAUCACAUGUCUUUUGAGGAAUGGUGGAUUGAGGAAUGUCAUCAAUUUGUAUUUCCUCACCCAUGAUUUCUUCAGAUCCAGCAUCUUCCAUUUCCUCAUCUUCUUCAGGAAUGACAUAGUCAAUUCCGAAGGGAACCAGUGAGUAGGAUGGAUCUACAUUAAGAGGCAUAGCAUCCAGUGGGGCAGUUGAGGAUUCUGUGUGAGUGACCUUUGGGCGCUUGGCCUAUGAGGAUUCUGAGGUCAUUGAAGCUUUUAUUUUCUUUGCUUCUUUCUCAGCAGCUUUGGUCUUCUUCACGUCUGAUGCAGACGAAACCAUCUUAUUCACCUUUGAAGGUUGAGGUGAAAGAAUUCUUUCUUCAGGAGCUGGUGCAGUCUCAGUCUUGAUAGUUUCCUUAGCUCAAGCAUUUUCUUCAGCUAUAACAUUUUCCUCAGCUCGAGCAGAUUCAUCAGCUGGAGUCUCUUGAGUAAUUUCCUCAAUAGCAGGUUCAUCAGCUUCAUCUUCUUCAGGCAGGUGAACCGUGUAGCUAGACUCAGGUAGUUUUUGCUGCACAGGAGGAGCAUCUUUCUUGUUGUAUUCAUCAACUGUAUCUGUUGCAAACUUCAUAAAUUUCACCUUAAGACUUUGAAGAUCAGAUAGGUGAGUGUACUUAACUGACAAGGUUUUUAGCUCAGCCUGAGUUGAAACAAGAGCUGCAGGCGUCAGAUUGAGGAGAUUCUGCUUGAGGAAUUUCUCCUUCUUUAGUUUAGCACCUUUGCUUGCUUGGCUUGUUGUUCUUUCCAUUUUGCCUCAUUGAUGAAUGUGGCAACCAUGUUACUGAGACCAGGGGGAAGCUUCAAGUCAUCAAUGGGAGUGUUUGGGUCUUCAUACCACACAUUGAUGAAAUCCAGCAGAACCUCGUUCCUGCUUGUUUUGGAUGAUAGCUUGAAGAGUUUCAUCAUCGAAUCCUCACUUCCUUCUGAUGUAGAAGGAAUGUUGAUGACUUUGCUUGGACUUGGCCUGAUGCCUCUUCCAGCAGUCAUUUUAGUCUUCAAAAGUGUUGGUGAAGACUGUGUAGCAGAGCUCGUGGCAGAUGGCACUGAGGAGCUGGAAUGAGCAAGCAGAUGCUUAACAAUCUUCUUUUGUUCGGGCUGUGAUGACUGUGGUGCGAUUGAAGGUUUUGGCACUGGUGCAACCUUUUGAGGCAAUUUUUCUUUAGGCACUUAUGCCUUUGUUUUAUUUGGCACAGUCUUCAUUUGAGGAAUAGCUGUACCAGAAGUUUCAGCAACAGAAGAGGUGGCUGCAGUGGCAGCAGCAACAGAUUCCUCAUUGAAUUUCUUCACUGUAGCUUCUGCUUUCCUCUGUAGUUUGGACAAGUGUUUGUCCUUCUCCUCAGGAUAAUACUCAAUAGUUUCAACACUUGAGGGAUGUGCAACCUGUUGAUUUCCAAGAGGAGGCCUCUUGCAUGGUGGCUUGAGAGCGAAUUUCUUCGCAUAUUUUGGAGUUACACAGCGAUAUUUCCUUCCACUCCUUAGUCCACCUACGUUCCAUUUUCUGAAGCCUUAUCUUACGCUUUGGCAUGGGUUCUUUGCCAUAUAUUUCCUCAUCAGGUGUGCAGUAGUCAGCGUAUAUGUCUUCAGGAAUAUCAACUGCAGUGUUCUGUUCAAUUUCUUUCCUCCUUUUUGCUUUCUGUCAUCUUCCAUUUUCUUCAACUGAUGCUUUUGUUGAGGAAUUUGCACUCUUGAAGAUUCUGAUGACACUGGUAAAGUUUCUUUGAGGAACACUACAAAUGAGUUAAGUUGAUGAGAACCUAGUGAUUCAUCAGCCGACAUUUUGUACCUGUGAACAGAGUAUGGGUGCGAGGAAUUUGGAGAGGUCAUAUGCGUUCUCAGAUUUGAAGAAAUUGAAAAAACUUAGAAGUUGAGGAUUUUAACCAUUGGGUUGAGGAAUUUGACUAAGCAUUCUGAUCUUGGGUUCCAGAGUUGUGUAGACUCGAGAAUUUACACAAUUGAGGAAUCUCAUGAAGAAUUUUAGUGGCUUAGUGAAAUUCAUCAUGUGUUUGAGGAAUGAGUGUGCGAGGCUGACGGACACUGAGGAAAAACAGAUUUCACGAAUCUAAAGUAAAAUAGUAGAUCAACAGGGUUAGUAAAAUACGAUUUCAAAUACCCUGAGCGACGAACACGAAGAAUAGAGGAAGUAAAAGUGAGAAGCUCGGCAGAAGACAACUACGGCGGUGGCGGAGGAAGAUAUUCUGCUUCCGGCAUGAGUUCGGCGACGGCGAAGACGAGGCAGUGAAGUUGUUCCUCACCGGUGACGAGAUUGCUAGCGGUGGUGCUAGGUUUGAGCUCGAGCGGAGAGAUGAUGAGAGGACGAAGGGUUUUAACUGAGGGGGUAAGGACCUAUUUAUAGCUCAGGUGGAAAACUGUUCGAGCGAAUCUUUUGGACCGAACUACCCUUGCUUGUUCGUCUCCGCUCGACACGUGGAGCCUGAGAUUAAAGCGGUGGAGAUCGUGCUUAUCUGAUCGUGGGAAGUGGGGUUCAGUUACUGUGUAACAAUAUAAAAUUCAGUUUUGAAGAUUUGAGGAUUUUUUUGCAAAAUCCUCAACUGACAAGGACACAGUGAGGAUUUUGAACAAGUUUCAAGUAGAAUGCAUAUGAAGAAUUGAAUAGACUGGGUUGACUAUAACAUAGAAGGGAGUCGGGUCCGAUCACAUUCACUUAGAUGAAAUAUCAAAUUGAAGAAAUAGCUAUAAGUGAAUGCUCUUGAGGACAUUGAAAUAUCAGUCUAUAUAUAUCUAGGCAAAUGAAAAUCAUCAAGCGUUUUGAAGAUUUUGAAAAUCUUGAGGAUUUUGUGACAAGGCGUCAGGUUGAUGAAUUUCAACUGUGUAGAAAGACAGCUUGAAGAAUUUCAAAAUUGGUUGGUGGCGUGGCCCAUCGUAUAAGAAUGAUGAUUUCAGGCGCCGCGUACAAUUAUCGUAGGGUCGUGAGAACCAAAUUCUUCAUUAGUUUCCUCACACUAAGAGUGAUAUUUUUCAUUGAUUGAAGAAAAUCGAUUCUUCGUGUGUUGCACAUCUAAGUCAUCAAUUUUUCAUAAGUGUUAGGAUGUGUGCAUGUGUUCACAAAACAUUUGAAGACUCUAAGAUAUUUAGCUCACACCUCAACUUGCAAAACCUUUUCUCAUCCAAGGGCUUAGUGAAAAUAUCUGCUAGUGGAUCGUCAGUCUUCACAUGGUCGAUGAUGGUAUUGCCCUUGAGGACAUGGUCCUGAAGAAAAUGAUGACAAAUCUGGAUGUGCUUAGUCUUCGAGUGUUGUACUGGGUUGUAUGCGAUCUUGAUUGCACUCUCAUUGUCGCAGUAGAGAGACACAUUCUUCAUGUUGAUGUCGUAGUCUUUGAAGGUUUGGUUCAUCCAUAGCAAUUGAGCACAACAUGAUCCAGCAGCAAUAUGUACUCAGCUUCGACAGUGGAGAGAGAAACACAAUUCUGCUUCUUUGAGGACCAGCAGACUAAUGAUCUUCCGAGGAAAUGACAAGUGCCAGAAGUUGACUUGCGAUCCACACGGUCACCAACAUAAUCAGAAUCAGAAUAUCCCAUUAGAUGAAGAUUUGAGCCCUUGGGGUACCAUAAUUCUAGUGUUGGUGUGUGAGCUAAGUAUCGCAGAAUAUGCUUCACAUCCUUAUGGUGUGUUUCGUUCAGUUUUGCUUGAAAACGGGCACACAUGCAAACACUAAGCAUUAUAUCUGGCCUAGAUGCACAAGAUACAAUAAAGAGCCAAUCAUUGAGCGAUAUACGUGCUGAUCGAAAUCUUUACCAUUUUCGUCAGUGCAGAAGUGGCCGUUGGUAGGCUUGGGAGUCUUGGCGCCUUUGCAUUCAUGCAUGUCGAAUUUCCUCAGAACAUCCUUGAGGUAUUUCUCGUGUGAUAUGAAGAUGUCAUUGCGUUGUUGAUGAAUUUGAAGAUCUAAGAAGAAUUUCAGCUCCCCAUCAUAGACAUAUGAUAUUCUUCACUCAUCAUGUAAGCAAAUUCAUCACUGUAACGUUUGUCAGUACACCCAAAGAUAAUGUCAUCGACAUAUAUUUGGCACACAAAUAGCUCAUUAUCAUCAGAUUUAAUGAAAAGAGUUGGAUUGAGUGAACCAGGUUUGAAGCCUUUCUUCAUGAGGAAUUCCUUCAAUGUAUCGUACCACGCCCGAGGGGCUUGCUUGAGGCCAUAAAGGGCCUUUUUGAGUCUGAAGACUUUGUGUGGAUUCUUUGGAUCCUCAAAACCUAGGGGCUGAGCAACAUAUUGUUGGGGAAUGUCGCAUGGGAAACAAAAAUUUUCCUACGUGCACGAAGACCUAUCAUGGUGAUGUCCAUCUACGAGAGGGGAUUUCCGAUCUAUGUACCCUUGUAGAUCGCACAGCAGAAGCGUUAAUAAAUGCGGUUGAUGUAGUGGAACGUCCUGACGUCCCUCGAUCCGCCCCGCGAACCGUCCCGCGAUCCGUCCCACGAUCCGCUCCGAUCUAGUGCCGAACGGACGACACCUCCGCGUUCAGCACACGUACAGCUCGACGAUGAUCUCGGCCUUAUUGAUCCAGCAAGAGAGACAGAGAGGUAGAUGAGUUCUCCGGCAGUGUGACGGCGCUCUGGAGUUUGGUGGUGAUCUAAUCUCAGCAGGGCUCCGCCCGAGCUCCACAGAAACGCGAUCUAGAGGAAAAACCGUGGAGGUAUGUGGUCGGGCUGCCGUGGCAAAGUUGUGUCAAAUCAGCCCUAAAACCUCCGUAUAUAUAGGUGGGAGGGGAGGGGCCUUGCCUUGGGGCUCAAGGAGCCCCAAGGGGUUCGGCCAAACCAAGGGGGAGAGUCCUCCCCUUCCAAUCCUAGUCCAACUAGGAUUGGAAGGUGGAGUCCUUCUCCACUUUCCCACUUCCCCUUUUUUUCUUUUCUCUUUGAUUUUUCUAUCUCCUGCGCAUAGGGCUUCUUGGGCUGUCCCACCAGCCCACUAAGGGCUGGUGUGGCACCCCUAAGGCCUAUGGGCUUCCCCCGGGUGGGCUUGCCCCCCCCGGUGAACAUCCGGAACCCAUUCGUCAUUCCAGUACAUUCCCGGUAACUCCGAAAACCUUCCGGUAAUCAAAUGAGGUCAUCCUAUAUAUCAAUCUUCGUCUUUGGACCAUUCCGGAAACCCUCGUGACGUCCGUGAUCUCAUCCGGGACUCCGAACAACAUUCGGUAACCAACCAUAUAACUCAAAUACGCAUAAAACAACGUCGAACCUUAAGUGUGCAGACCCUGCGGGUUCGAGAACUAUGUAGACAUGACCCGAGAGACUCCUCGGUCAAUAUCCAAUAGCGGGACCUGGAUGCCCAUAUUGGAUCCUACAUAUUCUCCGAAGAUCUUAUCGGUUGAACCUCAGUGCCACGGAUUCAUAUAAUCACGUAUGUCAUUCCCUUUGUCCUUCGGUAUGUUACUUGCUCGAGAUUCGACCGUCAGUAUCCGCGUACCUAUUUCAAUAUCGUUUACCGGCAAGUCUCUUUACUCGUUCCGUAAUACAAGAUCCCGUAACUUACACUAAGUCACAUUGCUUGCAAGGCUUGUGUAUGAUGUUGUAUUACCGAGUGGGCCCCGAGACACCUCUCCGUCACAUGGAGUGACAAAUCCCAGUCUCGAUCUAUACUAACUCAACGAACACCUUCGGAGAUACCCGUAGAGCAUCUUUACAGUCACCCAGUUACGUUGCGAUGUUUGAUACACACAAAGCAUUCCUCCAGUGUCAGUGAGUUAUAUGAUCUCAUGGUCAUAGGAAUAAAUACUUGACACGCACAAAACAGUAGCAACAAAAUGACACGAUCAAUAUGCUACGUUUAUUAGUUUGGGUCUAGUCCAUCACAUGAUUCUCCUAAUGAUGUGAUCCCGUUAUCAAGUAACAACACUUGCCUAUGGUCAGGAAACCUUGACCAUCUUUGAUCAACGAGCUAGUCAACUAGAGGCUUACUAGGGACAGUGUUUUGUCUAUGUAUCCACACAAGUAUUGUGUUUCCAAUCAAUACAAUUAUAGCAUGGACAAUAAACGAUUAUCAUGAACAAAGAAAUAUAAUAAUAACUAAUUUAUUAUUGCCUCUAGGGCAUAUUUCCAACAGCCUCCCACUUGCACUAGAGUCAAUAAUCUAGUUCACAUCACCAUGUGAUUCUAACGAAUCCAACACCCAUAUAGUUCUGGGGUCUGAUCACGUCUUGCUCGUGAGAGAGGUUUUAGUCAACGGUUCUGAAACUUUCAGAUCCGUGUGUUCUUUACAAAUCUUUAUGUCAUCUUAUAGAUGCUGCUACUACGUGCUAUUUGGAAAUACUCCAAAUAUCUACUCUACUAUACGAAUCCGUUUCACUACUCAUAGUUAUUUGGAUUAGUGUCAAAGCUUGCAUCGACGUAACCCUUUACGACGAACUCUUUAACCACCUCCAUAAUCGAGAAAAAUUCCUUAGCCCAUUUAGUUACUAAGGAUAACUUUGACCGCUGAUCAGUGAUUCAAUCCUGGAUCACUCUCUCUACCUCUUAACAGACUUGCUGCAAGGCACACAUCAGGUGCGGUACUCAGCAUGACAUACUUUAGAGUCUACGACUAAGGCAUAGAAGACGACAUUCGUCUAUUCUCUUUAUUUUGCCGUGGUCGGGUUUUGAGUCUUACUCAAAUUCACACCUUACAACACAGUCAAGAACUCCUUCUUUGCUAAUCUAUUUUGAACUCCUUCAAAAACUUGUCAAGGCAUGCAUCUUGUUGAAACUUCUAUUAAGCGUUUCAAUCUAUCUCCAUAGAUCUUGAUGCUCAACGUUCAAGUAGCUCAAUCCAAGUAUUCCUUUUAAAAACUCCUUUCAAACAACCUUGUAUGCUUUUCAGAAAUUCUACAUUACUUUCGAUCAACAAUAUGUCAACCACGUAUACUUAUCAGAAAUUCUAUAGUGCUCCCACUCACUUCUUUGGAAAUACAAGUUUCUCAUAAACCUUGUACAAACCCAAAAUCUUUGAUCAUCUCAUCAAAGUGUAUAUUGCAACUCCGAGAUGCUUGCACCAGUCCAUUGAAGGAUCGCUGGAGCUUGCAUACUUGCUAGUAUCCUUAGGAUCGACAAAACCUUCUGGUUGUAUCAUAUAAAUCUUUCUCAAGGAAACCGUCGAGGAAACAAUGUUUUGUCUUCCUAUGUGCAAUACUUCACAAAUAAUGCAGCAACUACUAACAUAAUUCCAACAGACUUUUAGCAUCGCUACGAGUGAGAAAGUCUCAUCAUAGUCAACUAUUUGAUCUUGCGGAAACAUCUUUGCGACAAGUCGAGCUUUUCUUAAUAGUGACGAUUCACCAUCAUCGUCUCUCUUCCUUAUAAAGAUCCAUCUUUACUUAAUAGCCCUACGACCAUCAAGUUCUUCCAAAGUCUAUACUUUGUUCUCACAUAUGGAUUCUCUCUCGAAUUUCAUGGCCUCCAGCCAUUUGUCGGAAUCCGGGCCCACCAUUGCUUCUCUAUAACUUGUAGGUUCAUUGUUGUUUAACAACAUGACCUCCAAGACAGGGUUACCGUACCGCUCUGUAGUAGUAUGCGACCUUGUCGACCUACGAGGUUUGUAGUAACUUGAUCCAAUGCUUAAUGAUCACCAUCAUCAACUUCCACUUCAAUUAGUGUAGGCGCCACACGAACAACGUCUUGCGCCCUGCUACACACUGGUUGAAGUGAUGGUUCAAUAACCUCAUCAAGUUCUACCACCCUCCCACUCAAUUUUUUUGAGAAAAACCUUUCCUCGAGAAAGGAUCCGUUUCUAGAAACAAACACUUUGCUUCAGGAUCUGAGAUAGGAAAUGUAUCCAACUGUUUUGGAUAUCCUAUGAAGAUGCUUUCAUCCGCUUUGGGUUCGAGCUUAUCAGAGUGAAACCUUUUUCACAUAAGCAUCACAGCCCCAAACUUUCAAGAAACGACAGCUUAGAUUUCUCUAAACCUUAAUCUAUACAGUGUCAUCUCAACGGAAAUACGCGGUGCCCUUUUUAAUGUGAAUGCGGUUGUCUCUAAUGCAUAACCCAUAAACGAUAGUGGUAAUUCGAUAAGAGACAUCAUAGUAUGCACCAUAUCAAAUAGGGCGUGGCUAUGACGUUCAAACACAUCAUCACACUAUGGUAUUCCAGGUGGCAUGAACUGCGAAACAAUUUCCACAUUGUCUUAACUGCGUACCAAAUCUCGUAACUCAGAUAUUCAUUUCUAUGAUCAUAUCGUAGACAGUUUAUCCUCUUGUUACGACGAACUUCACUUUGAAACAGAAUUGAACUUUUCAAUAUUUCAGACUUUGUGAAUCAUCAAGUAAAUACUCCUGUAUCUACUCAAAUCGUUAGUGAAGUAAGAACAUAACGAUAUCCACUGCGUGCCUUAGCACUCAUUGGACUAUACACAUCAAAAAUGUAUUAUUCCCAACAAGUUACUCUCUUCUUUCAUGUGGCAUGUUUUGCAUGUCUCAAGUGAUUCAAAAUCAAGCGAGUCCAAAUGAUCCAUCUCUCAUGGAGUUUCUUCAUGCAUUUAUACCAACAGGUAUGGUUUGCAUGUCUCAAACGUUUCAAAAAUGAGUGAGUACAAAGAUCCAUCAGCAUGGAGCUUCUACAUGCAUUUUAUACCAACAUGACUCAAGUGGCAGUGCCACAACUAAGUGGUACUAUCAUUAUUACUUUGUAUAUUUGGCACUAAUAUUAUGAACAUGUGUAACACUAUGAUAGAGAUUCAAUAAACCAUUGAGGGUAAUUAUUCAAGCAAAUAGAACAACUAUUAUUCUCUUUAAAUGAAUAAUCGUAUUGCAAUAAACAUGAUCCAAUCAUGUUCAUGCUCAACGCAAACACCAAAUAACAAUUAUUUAGGUUUUACCAUCAAUCCCGAUGAUAGAGGGAGCGUGCGACGUUUGAUCACAUCAACCUUGGAAACACUUUCAACACUUAUCGUCACCUCGCCUUUAGCUAGUCUCCUUUUAUACCGUAGCUUUCAUUUCGUGUUACUAAUCACUUAGCAACCGAACCGGUAUCCAAUACCCUUGCGCUACUAGGAGUACUAGUAAAGUACACAUCUACUUCAUGUAUAUCAAAUAUACUUCUUUCGACUUUGCGAGCCUUCUUAUCUACCAAGUAUCUAGAGUUGCUCCGCCUAAGUGACUGUUCCCCUCAUAACAGAAGCACUUUGUCUCGGGUUUGGGUUUAUUCUUGAGUCUCUUCAUUAGUGCAGCAAUUGUUACUGUUUCCUGUUAAUACAAUUAUAGCAUGAACAAUAGACGAUUAUCAUGAACAAGGAAAUAUGACAAUAACCAUUUUAUUAUUGCCUCUAGUGCAUAUUUCCAACAAUCUCCCACUUGCACUAGAGUCAAUAAUCUAGUUACAUUGUGAUGUAUCGAACACCCAUAGCAUUAUGGUGUUGAUCAUGUUUUGCUCGUGGAAGAGGUUUAGUCAACGGGUCUGCAAUAUUCAGAUCUGUGUGUACUUUAAAGGAGGCACAAUGCUCCCCAAGAUGCCACUAAGGCCGCCGUAAUCUCCUCACGCCCUUGCACAAUGCAAGAUGUCGUGAUUCCACUAGGGGACCCUUGAGGCGGUCACCGAACCCGUACAACAAGGUUGGGGCAAGUCUCCGCACUUAAUUGGAGGCUACCCNNNNNNNNNNNNNNNNNNNNNNNNNNNNNNNNNNNNNNNNNNNNNNNNNNNNNNNNNNNNNNNNNNNNNNNNNNNNNNNNNNNNNNNNNNNNNNNNNNNNUUCCUUGUUCAUGAUAAUCGUCUAUUGUUCAUGCUAUAAUUGUAUUAACAGGAAACAGUAAUACAUGUGUGAAUAAAUAGAUCACAAUGUGUCCCUAGCAAGCCUCUAGUUGGCUAGCUCGUUAGUCAAUAGAUGAUCAUGGUUUCCUGAUCAUGGGCAUUAGAUGUCAUUGAUAACGGGAUCACAUCAUUGGGAGAAUGAUGUGAUGGACAAGACCCAAUCUUAAGCAUAGCACUAGAUCGUAUUGUUCAUAUGCUAAAGCUUUUCUAAUGUCAAGUAUAUUUUCCUUUGACCGUGAGAUUGUGCAACUCCCGGAUACCGUAGGAGUGCUUUGGGUGUAUCAAACGUCACAACGUAACUGGGUGACUAUAAAGGUGCACUACGGGUACCUCCGAAAGUGUCUGUUGGGUUGGUACAAAUCGAGAUCGGGAUUUGUCACUCCGUGUGACGGAGAGGUAUCUCUGGGCCCACUCGGUAGAACAUCAUCAUGAGCUCAAUGUGACUAAGGAGUUAUUCACACGAUGAUGUGCUACGGAACGAGUAAAGAGACUUACCGGUAACGAGAUUGAACAAGGUAUAGGUAUACCGACGAUCGAAUCUCGGGCAAGUUCUAUACCGACAGACAAACGGAAUCGUAUACGGGAUUAAUUGAAUCCUUGACAUCGUGGUUCAUCCGAUGAGAUCAUCGUGGAGCAAGUGGGAGCCACCAUGGGUAUCCAGACCCCGCUGAUGGUUAUUGGCCGGAGAGGCGUCUCGGUCAUGUCUGCCUGUCUCCUGAACCCGUAGGGUCUACACACUUAAGGUUCGAUGACGCUAGGAUUAUAGGGAAUUGUUAUACGAGGUUACCGAAAGUUGUUCGGAGUCCCGGAUGAGAUCCCGGAUGUCACGAGGAGCUCCGGAAUGGUCCGGAGGUAAAUAUUGAUAUAUAGGACGUAUGGUUUCGGAUACCGAAAGUGUUUUGGGCAUCACCGGGACCACCGGGACUACCGGAGGUGGCCCCGGGGGUCCACCAAAGGGGGGCAACGACCCCGGGAGGUAAGGUGGGCCAAGUGGGGAAGGGAACCAGCCCCUAGGUGGGCUGGUGCGCCUCCUCACUCAGCCCGAUGCGUGGGGGAGAGAAAAGGGGGGCAAACCCUAAGCCAGGUGGGUCUAAGGCCCACCAGGUGGUGCGCCACCCCUCCCCACCCUAGCCGCCGCCCCCUUUCCCAUCUGGUGGCCGCCGGCCCCUAGGGAGGGAACCCUAGGGGUGGCGCAGCCCCUCCCCCUCCUCCUAUAAAUAGAGAGGGGUUUUUGGCCCUUGGGAGACAGACUUCUCCCUCUCCCUCGGCGCAGCCCUGCCCUUCUUUCUCCUCAUCUCUGCCGAUGCUUGGCGAAGCCCUGCCGGGAGACCUCGUCUCUCCAUCGACACCACGCCGUCGUGCUGCUGGAGUUCUUCCCCAACCUCUCCCUCCUCCUUGCUGGAUCAAGGUGCGGGAGACGUCACCGGGCUGCACGUGUGUUGAACGCGGAGGUGCCGUAGUUCGGCACUAGAUCAGAAUCACACCGCGAUCCGAAUCGCUGCGAGUACGACUCCAUCAACCGCGUUCUAGUAACGCUUCCGCUUAGCGAUCUUCAAAGGUAUGAAGAUUCUCUUACCCCUCUCUCGUUGCUGGUCUCUCCAUAGGAAGAUCUGAAUAUGCGUAGGAAAUUUUUGAAUUUAUGCUACGUUACCCAAAAGUGGCAUCCGAGCCAGGUUUUCUAUGCGUAGAUACUAUGCACGAGCGGAACACAAAAGUUGUGGGCGAUGAUGUGUCAAUUUGCUUGCCGCUACUAGUCUUAUUCUUUUCCGACGGUAUUGUGGGAUGAAGCGGCCCGGACCGACUUUACACGUACGCUUACGUGAGAUUGGUUCCACCGACAGACAUGCACACCGUGCAUAAAGGUGGCUAGCGGGUGUCUGUCUCUCCUACUCUAGUCGGAUUGGAUUUGAUGAAAAGGGUCCUUAUGAAGGGUAAAUAGCUUUGGCAUAUCAUCGUUGUGUCUGUCACGUAGGUAAGAAGGCGUUCUUGCUAGAAACCCAAAUCAGCCACGUAAAACUUGCAACAACAAUUAGAGGACGUCUAACUUGUUUUUGCAGGGUUUGACAUGUGAUGUGAUAUGGCCAAAGUUGUGAUGUUGCAUGUAUGAUGUAUGAGAUGAUCAUGUUAUUGUAAUAGGUUUCACGACUUGCAUGUCGAUGAGUAUGACAACCGGCAGGAGCCAUAGGAGUUGUCUUAAUUUAUUGUAUGAGAUGCAACGCCAUGUGCUUACUACUUUUACUUCAUUGCUAACGGUUAGCUAUAGUAGUAGUGAUAGUAGUAGUUGGCGUGAUGACUUCGCGGAGACACGAUGAUGGAGAUCAUGGUGUCACGCUGGUGACGAUGAUGAUCAUGUGAUGCCUGAAGAUGGAGAUCGAAAGAGCAAAGAUGAUAAUGGCCAUAUCAUGUCACUAUAUGAUUGCAUUGUGAUGUUUAUCAUGUUUUACAUCUUAUUGCUUAGAACGACGGUAGAAUAAUAAGAUGACCCCUCUUAAAAUUUCGAGAACGUAUUCCCCUAAGUGUGCACCGUUGCGAAGGUUCGUUGUCUCGAAGCACCAUGUGAUGAUCGGGUGUGAUAGAUUCUAACGUUCGCAUACAACGGGUGUAAGCCAGAUUUACACACGCGAAACACCUAGGUUGACUCGACGAGCUUAGCAUGUACAGACAUGACCUCGAAUACAAGAGACCGAAAGGUCGAACAUGAGUCGUAUGGUUGAAUAUGAUCAGCAUGAAGUUGCUCACCAUGGUGACUAGUCCGUCUCACGUGAUGAUCGGACACGGGUUAGUCAACAUGGAUCAUGUAUCACUUAGAUGACUAGAGGGAUGUCAAUUUAAGUGGGAGUUCAUACUUAAUUUGAUUAAAUGAACUUAAUUGUCAUGAACUUAGUCUAAAAGUUGUCUUUGUAAAUAUUGUAGAUGGCCAACGUCAACCUCAAUUUCAACGCAUUCCUAGAGAAAAACAAGCGGAAAUAUGAUGGUAGCAACUAUGCGGACUGGGUUCGCAACUUGAAGCUCAUCCUUGAAGUAGCCAAAAAGGCUUAUGUCCUUGAUGCGCCGCUAGGUGACCCUCCCGCUCCCGCAGCAGCCCAGGACAUUCUGAACGUCUGGCAAACACGGAGUGAUGACUACUCUCUGGUUAGGUGUGGCAUGUUAUACAGUUUAGAAACGGGGCUCCAAUGGCGUUUUGAGCAACACGGGGCAUAUGAGAUGUUCCAGGAGCUGAAGCUAGUUUUUCAAGCUCAUGCCCGUGUCGAGAGAUAUGAAGUCUCCGACAAGUUCUUUAGCUGUAAGAUGGAGGAGAACAGUUCUAUCAGUGAGCACAUACUCAAAAUGUCUGGGUUACACGGUCGUCUGACUUCACUUGGAGUCGAACUUCCGGAUGAUGCUAUAAUUGACAGAAUCCUCCAGUCUCUCCCACCAAGCUACAAAGGCUUUGUGCUUAACUACAACAUGCAAGGGAUGGAAAAGACCAUUCCCGAGUUGUACUCGAUGCUCAAGUCUGCAGAAGUAGAAAUCAAGAAAGAGCAUCAAGUGUUGAUGGUCAACAAGACCACUAGUUUCAAGAAAGGCAAGGGUAAGAAGAACUUCAAGAAAGAAGACAAAGAUGUUGCCGCGCCCGGUAAGCCAGAUGCCGGGAAGAAGAAAAAGAAUGGACCCAAGCCUGAGACUGAGUGCUUCUAUUGCAAGGGAAAAGGUCACUCGAAGCGGAACUGCCCCAAAUACUUAGCGGACAAGAAGGCCGGCAACGUUAAAGGUAUAUGUGAUAUACAUGUUAUUGAUGUGUACCUUACCAGCGCUCGUAGUAGCUCCUGGGUAUUUGAUACCGGUGCUUUUGCUCACAUUUGCAACUCAAAGCAGGAACUGCGGAAUAAGCGGAGACUGUCCAAGGACGAGGUGACGAUGCGCGUCGGGAAUGGUUCAAAGGUCGAUGUGAUCGCCGUCGGCACGCUACCUCUACAUCUACCGUCGGGAUUUGUUUUAAACCUUAAUAAUUGUUAUUUAGUACCAGCUUUAAGCAUGAACAUUGUAUCAGGGUCUUACUUAAUGCGAGACGGCUACUCAUUUAAGUCAGAGAAUAAUGGUUGUUCUAUUUAUAUGAGUGAUAUGUUUUAUGGUCAUGCUCCGCUGGUGAAUGGUUUAUUCUUGAUGAAUCUCGAUCGUGAUGUUACGAAUAUUCAUAGUGUGAGUACCAAAAGAUGUAAAGUUGAUAAUGAUAGUCCCACAUACUUGUGGCACUGCCGCCUUGGUCAUAUCGGCAUUAAGCGCAUGAAGAAGCUCCAUAUUGAUGGACUUUGAAUCAUUUGACACAUGCGAACCGUGCCUCAUGGGGAAUAUGACUAAGACUCCAUUCUCAGGAAUAAUGGAGNNNNNNNNNNNNNNNNNNNNNNNNNNNNNNNNNNNNNNNNNNNNNNNNNNNNNNNNNNNNNNNNNNNNNNNNNNNNNNNNNNNNNNNNNNNNNNNNNNNNCUGACGUGAGAACNCAAAAGGUUNUGGGCGAUGAUUUGUCAAUUGCUUGCCGCUACUAGUCUUAUCUUYUSMMGYGGUAUUGUGGGAUGAAGCGGCCCGGACCGACCUUACAUGUACGCUUACGUGAGACUGGUUCCACCGACAGACAUGCACACCGUGCAUAAAGGUGGCUAGCGGGUGUCUGUCUCUCCUACCCUAGUCGGAUUGGAUUUGAUGAAAAGGGUCCUUAUGAAGGGUAAAUAUCUUUGGCAUAUCAUCGUUGUGGCUGUCACAUAGGUAAGAAAGCGUUCUUGCUAGAAACCCAAAUCAGCCACGUAAAACUUGCAACAACAAUUAGAGGACGUCUAACUUGUUUUUGCAGGGUUUGACAUGUGAUGUGAUAUGGCCAAAGUUGUGAUGUUGCAUGUGUGAUGUAUGAGCUGAUCAUGUUAUUGUAAUAGGUUUCACGACUUGCAUGUCGAUGAGUAUGAAAAUCGGCAGGAGCCAUAGGAUUUGUCUUAAUUUAUUGUAUGAGAUGCAACGCCAUGUGCUUACUACUUUUACUUCAUUGCUAACGGUUAGCUUUAGUAGUAGUGAUAGUAGUAGUUGGCGUGAUGACUUCACGGAGACACGAUGAUGAAGAUCAUGAUGAUGGAGAUCAUGGUGUCACGCCGGUGACGAUGAUGAUCAUGCGAUGCCUGAAGAUGGAGAUCGAAAGAGCAAAGAUGAUAAUGGCCAUAUCAUGUCACUAUAUGAUUGCAUUGUGAUGUUUAUCAUGUUUUUCAUCUUAUUGCUUAGAACAACGGUAGCAUAAUAAGAUGAUCCCUCUUAAAAUUUCAAGAACGUAUUCCCCUAAGUGUGCACCAUUGCGAAGGAUCGUUGUCUCGAAGCACCACGUGAUGAUCGGGUGUGAUAGAUUCUAACGUUCGCAUACAACGGGUCUAAGCCAGAUUUACACACGCGAAACACCUAGGUUGACUCGACGAGCUUAGCAUGUACAGACAUGACCUCGAAUACAAGAGACCGAAAGGUCGAACAUGAGUCGUAUGGUUGAAUACAAUCAGAUGAAGUUGCUCACCAUGGUGACUAGUCCGUCUCACGUGAUGAUCGGACACGGGUUAUUCAACAUGGAUCAUGUAUCACUUAGAUGACUAGAGGGAUGUCGAUUUAAGUGGGAGUUCAUACUUAAUUUGAUUAAAUGAACUUAAUUGUCAUGAACUUAGUCUAAAAAUUGUCUUUAUAAAUAUUGUAGAUGGCCAACGUCAACCUCAAUUUCAACGCAUUCCUAGAGAAAAACAAGCUGAAAGAUUAUGCUAGCAACUAUGCGGACUGGGUUCGCAACUUGAAGCUCAUCCUUGAAGCAGCUAAAAAGGCUUAUGUCCUUGAUGCGCCGCUAGGUGACCCUUCCGCUCCCGCAGAAGCCUGGGACAUUCUGAACGUCUGGCAAACGCGGAGUGAUGACUACUCUCUCGUUAGGUGUGGCAUGUUAUACAAUUUAGAAACGGGGCUCCAAAGGCAUUUUGAGCAACAGUGUGCAUAUGAGAUGUUCCAAGAGCUAAAGCUAGUUUUUCAAGCUCAUGCCCGUGUCGAGAGAUAUGAAGUCUCCGACAAGUUCUUUAGCUGUAAGAUGAAGGAGAACAGUUCUGUCAGUGAGCACAUACUCAAAAUGUCUGGGUUACACGGUCGUGUGACUUCACUUGGAGUCGAACUUCCGGAUGAUGCUAUAAUUGACAAAAUCCUCCAGUCUCUCCCACCAAGCUACAAAGGCUUUGUGCUUAACUACAACAUGCAAGGGAUGGAGAAGACCAUUCCCGAGUUGUACUCGAUGCUCAAGUCUGCAGAAGUAGAAAUCAAGAAAGAGCAUCAAGUGUUGAUGGUCGACAAGACCACUAGUUUCAAGAAGGGCAAGGGUAAGAAGAACUUCAAGAAAGAUGGCAAAGUUGUUGCCGCGCCCGGUAAGCCAUAUGCCGGGAAUAAGAAAAAGAAUGGACCCAAGCCUGAGACUGAGUGCUUCUAUUGCAAGGGAAAAGGUCACUGGAAGCGGAACUGCCCCAAAUACUUAGCGGACAAGAAGGCCGGCAACGUUAAAGGUAUAUGUGAUAUACAUGUUAUUGAUGUGUACCUUACCAGUGCUCGUAGUAGCUCCUGGGUAUUUGAUACCGAUGAUGUUUCUCACAUUUGCAACUCAAAGCAGGAACUGCAGAAUAAGCGGAGACUGGCAAAGGACGAGGUGAUGAUGCGCGUCGGGAAUGGCUCCAAGGUCGAUGUGAUAGCCGUCGGAACGUUACCUCUACAUCUACCAUCGGGAUUAGUUUUAAACCUUAAUAACUGUUAUUUAGUAGCAGCUUUAAGCAUGAACAUUGUAUCAGGGUCUUGCUUAAUGCGAGACGGCUACUCAUUUAAGUCAGAGAAUAAUGGUUGUUCUAUUUAUAUGAGUGAUAUGUUUUAUGGUCAUGCUCCGCUGGUGAAUGGUUUAUUCUUGAUGAAUCUCGAUCGUGAUGUUACGCAUAUUCAUAGUGUGAGUACCAAAAUAUGUAAAGUUGAUAAUGAUAGUCCCACAUACUUGUGGCACUACCGCCUUGGUCAUAUCGGCGUUAAGCGCAUGAAGUAGCUCCAUACUGAUGGACUAUUAGAGUCUCUUGAUUUUGAAUCAUUUGACACAUGUGAACCGUGCCUCAUGGGCAAGAUGACUAAGACUCCAUUCUCAGGAAUAAUGGAGAGAGCAACCGACUUAUUGGAAAUAAUACAUACUGAUGUGUGUGGUCCAAUGAACGUUGAAGCUCGCGGUGGCUAUCGUUAUGUUCUCACUCUCACCGAUGAUUUGAGUAGGUAUGGGUAUAUCUACUUGAUGAAGCACAAAUCUGAGACAUUUGUAAAGUUCAAGGAAUUUCAGAGUGAGGUCAAGAAUCAACGUGACAGAAAAAUUAAGUGUCUACGAUCUCAUCGUGGAGGAGAAUAUUUGAGUCACGAGUUUGGCACACACCUAAGGAAGUGUGGAAUCGUUUCACAACUGACGCCGCCUGGCACACCGCAACGCAACGGAGUGUCUGAACAUUGUAAUUGCACCUUAUUAUAUAUGGUACGAUCUAUGAUGUCUCUUAUCGACUUACCGCUAUCAUUUUGGGGAUACGCAUUAGAAACUGUAGCAUUCACUUGAAAUAGGGCACCGUCUAAAUCCGUUGAGACGACACCGUAUGAACUAUGGUUUGGCAAGAAACCUAAGUUGUCGUUUCUUAAAGUUUGGGGCUGCGAUGCUUAUGUGAAGAAACUUCAACCAGAAAAGCUCGAACCCAAAGCGGAGAAAUGCGUAUUCAUAGGAUACCCUAAGGAAACUAUUGGGUAUACCUUCUAUCUUAGAUCCGAAGGUAAAACCUUUGUUGCCAAGAACGGAUCCUUUCUAGAGAAAGAGUUUCUCUCGAAAGAAGUAAGUGGGAGGAAGGUAGAACUUGAUGAGGUAAUUACACCCCCUCUUGAACAGGAUAGUAGCGCAGCGCGGGAAGUUGUUCCUGUGGCGCCUACACCAACUGAAGAGGAAGUUAAUGAUAAUGAUCAUGAAGCUUCGGAUCAAGUUACUAAUGAACCGCGAAGGUCCACAAGGGCACGCUCCGCACCAGAGUGGUACGGCAACCCUGUGAUGGAAAUCAUGUUGUUAGACAACGGUGACCCUUCGAACUAUGAAGAAACGAUGGCACGUCAGNNNNNNNNNNNNNNNNNNNNNNNNNNNNNNNNNNNNNNNNNNNNNNNNNNNNNNNNNNNNNNNNNNNNNNNNNNNNNNNNNNNNNNNNNNNNNNNNNNNNCCUAAGUGACUGUUCCCCUCAUAACAGAAGCUACUUUGUCUCGGGUUUGGGUUUAUUCUUGAGUCUCUUCAUUAGUGCAGCAAUUGUUACUGUUUCCUGUUAAUACAAUUAUAGCAUGAACAAUAGACGAUUAUCAUGAACAAGGAAAUAUGACAAUAACCAUUUUAUUAUUGCCUCUAGUGCAUAUUUCCAACAAUCUCCCACUUGCACUAGAGUCAAUAAUCUAGUUACAUUGUGAUGUAUCGAACACCCAUAGCAUUAUGGUGUUGAUCAUGUUUUGCUCGUGGAAGAGGUUUAGUCAACGGGUCUGCAAUAUUCAGAUCUGUGUGUACUUUAAAAAUAUCUAUCACUCCACUCUGGACAUGGUCCUGGAUGGAGUUGUAGCGGCGUUUGAUGUGCUUCGUCUUCCGGUGAAACCUGGGCUCCUUGGCAAUGGAAAUGGCCCCAGUGUUAUCACACAAGAGUGUCAUUGGACCCGACGGGCUUGGAACCACUCCAAGGUCGGUGAUGAGCUCCUUCAUCCAAAUUCCUUCAUGAGCCGCUUCUGAAGCAGCUAUGUACUCUGCUUCACAUGUAGACGCUACCACGACUUCUUGCUUGCUGCUGCACCAGCUCACUGCCCCACUAUUCAAAACAUAUACAUAUCCGGUCUGUGACUUAGAGUCAUACGGAUCUGUGUCAAAGCUAGCGUCGACAUAACCCUUUACGACGAGCUCUUCGUCACCUCCAUAAACGAGAAACAUUUCCUUAGUCCUUUUCAGGUACUUAAGGAUAUUCUUGACCGCCGUCCAGUGUUCCAUACCGGGAUCACUUUGGUACCUCCCUACCAAACUUAUGGCAAGGUUUAUAUCAGGUCUGGUACACAGCAUGACAUACAUAAGAGAGCCUAUGGCUGAAGCAUAGGGGACAAAACUCAUCUUCUCUCUAUCUGCUGCCGUGGUCGGCGACUGAGUCUUANNNNNNNNNNNNNNNNNNNNNNNNNNNNNNNNNNNNNNNNNNNNNNNNNNNNNNNNNNNNNNNNNNNNNNNNNNNNNNNNNNNNNNNNNNNNNNNNNNNNUUAAGGUUUAAAACUAAUCCCGACGGUAGAUGUAGAGGUAGCGUGCCGACGGCGAUCACAUCGACCUUUGAGCCAUUCCCGACGCGCAUCGUCACCUCGUCCUUGGCCAGUCUCCGCUUAUUCCGCAGUUCCUGCUUUGAGUUGCAAAUGUGAGCAACAGCACCGGUAUCAAAUACCCAGGAGCUACUACGAGCGCUGGUAAGGUACACAUCAAUAACAUGUAUAUCAUAUAUACCUUUAACGUUGCCGGCCUUCUUGUCCGCUAAGUAUUUGGGGCAGUUCCGCUUCGAGUGACCUUUUCCCUUGCAGUAGAAGCACUCAGUCUCAGGCUUGGGUCCGUUCUUUUUCUUCUUCCCGGCAUCUGGCUUACCGGGCGCGGCAACAUCUUUGCCGUCUUUCUUGAAGUUCUUCUUACCCCUGCCUUUCUUGAAACUAGUGGUCUUGUUGACCAUCAACACUUGAUGCUCCUUCUUGAUUUCUACUUCUGCAGACUUGAGCAUCGAGUACAACUCGGGAAUGGUUUUCUCCAUCCCUUGCAUGUUGUAGUUAAGCACAAAGCCUUUGUAGCUUGGUGGGAGAGACUGGAGGAUUCUGUCAAUGAUAGCAUCAUCCGGAAGUUCGACUCCAAGUGAAGUCAGACGACCAUGUAACCCAGACAUUUUGAGUAUGUGCUCACUGACAGAACUGUUCUCCUCCAUCUUACAGCUGAAGAACUUGUCGGAGACUUCAUAUCUCUCGACACGGGCAUGAGCUUGAAAAACUAGCUUCAGCUCUUGGAACAUCUCAUAUGCUCCGUGUUGCUCAAAACGUCUUUGGAGCCCCGUUUCUAAACUGUAUAACAUGCCACACCUGACCAGAGAGUAGUCAUCACUCCGCGCUUGCCAAACGUUUAGAACGUCCUGGGCUGCUGCGGGAGCGGGAGGGUCACCUAGCGGCGCAUUAAGGACAUAAGCCUUUUUAGCUGCUUCAAGGAUGAGCUUCAGGUUGCGAACCCAGUCCGCAUAGUUGCUACCAUCAUCUUUCAGCUUGUUUUUCUCUAGGAAUGCGUUGAAGUUGAGGUUGACGUUGGACAUCUACAAUAUUCAUAAAGACAACUUUUAGACUAAGUUCAAGACAAUUAAGUUCAUUUAAUCAAAUUAAGUAUGAACUCCCACUUAAAUCGACAUCCCUCUAGUCAUCUAAGUGAUACAUGAUCCAUGUUGACUAACCCGUGUCCGAUCAUCACGUGAGACGGACUAGUCACCAUGGUGAGCAACUUCAUGCUGAUCGUAUUCAACCAUACGACUCAUGUUCGACCUUUCGGUCUCUUGUAUUCGAGGUCAUGUCUGUACAUGCUAAGCUCGUCGAGUCAACCUAAGUGUUUUGCGUGUGUAAAUCUGGCUUACACCCGUUGUAUGCGAACGUUAGAAUCUAUCACACCCGAUCAUCACGUGGUGCUUCGAGACAACGAACCUUCACAACGGUGCACACUUAGGGGAAUACGUUCUCAAAAUUUUAGGAGGGAUCAUCUUAUUAUGCUACCGUCGUUUUAAGCAAUAAGAUGUAAAACAUGAUAAACAUCACAAUGCAAUCAUAUAGUGACAUGAUAUGGCCAUUAUCAUCUUUGCUCAUUCGAUCUCCAUCUUCAGGCAUCGCAUGAUCAUCAUCGUCACCGGCGUGACACCAUGAUCUCCAUCAUCGUGUCUUCGUGAAGUCGUCACGCCAACUACUAUUAUCACUACUACUAUGGCUAACCGUUAGCAAUGAAGUAAAAGUAGUAAGCACAUGGCUUUGCGUCUCAUACAAUAAAUUAAGACAACUCCUAUGGCUCCUGCCGGUUGUCAUACUCAUCGACAUGCAAGUCGUGAAACCUAUUACAAUAACAUGAUCAUCUCAUACAUCAUACAUGCAACAUCACAACUUUGGCCAUAUCACAUCACAUGUCAAACCCUGCAAAAACAAGUUAGACGUCCUCUAAUUGUUGUUGCAAGUUUUACGUGGCUGAUUUCGGUUUCUAGCAAGAACGCCUUCUUACCUACGUGACAGCCACAACAAUGAUAUGCCAAAGCUAUUUACCAUUCAUAAGUACCCUUUUCAUCAAAUCCAAUCCGACUAGAGUAGGAGAGACAGACACCCGCUAGCCACCUUUAUGCACGAUGUGCAUGUUUGUCGGUGGAACCAGUCUCACGUAAGCGUACGUGUAAGGUCGGUCCGGGCCGCUUCAUCCCACAAUACCGCCGGAAAAGAAUAAGACUAGUAACGGCAAGCAAAUUGACAAACCAUCGCCCACAACUUUUGUGUUCUACUCGUGCAUAGAAUCUACGCAUAGAAAACCUGGCUCGGAUGCCACUGUUGGGUAACGUAGCAUAAAUUCAAAAAAUUUCCUACGCAUGUUCAGAUCUUCCUAUGGAGAGACCAGCAACGAGAGAGGGGUAAGAGCAUCUUCGUACCUUUGAAGAUCGCUAAGCGGAAGCGUUGCUAGAACGCGGUUGAUGGAGUCGUACUCGCAGCGAUUCCGAUCUAGUGCCGAACAACGGCACCUCCGCGUUCAACACACGUGCAGCCCGGUGACGUCUCCCGCACCUUGAUCCAGCAAGGAGGAGGGAGAGGUUGGGGAAGAAGACCAGCAACACGACGGCGUGGUGUUGGUGGAGAGACGAGGUCUCCCGGCAGGGCUUCGCCAAGCGCCGGCAGAGAGGAGGAGGAAGAAGUGCAGGGCUGCGCCGAGGGAGAGGGAAAAAUGUGUCCUCCAAAGGCCAAAAGUGCCCACUAUAUAUAGGGGAAGGGGAGAGGGGGUGCCACCCCUAGGGUUCCCACCCUAGGGGGUGCGGCAGCCCUCCCAGAUGGGGAAAGUGGCGGCCAGAUGGGGAGGAGGGGGUGGCGCACCCCUCUGGUGGGCCUAAGGCCCACCUAAGUUAGGGUUCCCCCCCUCUUUUUUCUUCCCCUGCGCCAUGGGCUGAGUGGGGAGGCGCACCAGCCCAACUAGGGGCUGGUUCCCACCCCCACUUAGCCCAUCUUACCUCUUGGGGUCGCAGCCCCCCUUCGGUGGUCCCCCCGGGACCACCUCCGGUGGUCCCGGUACGUUACCGGUGAUGCCCGAAACACUUCCGGUGUCCGAAACCAUCCGUCCUAUAUAUCAAUAUUUACCUCCGGACCAUUCCGGAGCUCCUCGUGACGUCCGGGAUCUCAUCCGGGACUCCGAACAACUUUCGGUAAUCUCGUAUAACAAUUCCCUAUAACCCUAGCGUCAUCGAACCUUAAGUGUGUAGACCCUACGGGUUCGGGAGACAGGCAGACAUGACCGAGACACCUCUCUGGCCAAUAACCAUCAGCGGGGUCUGGAUACCCAUGGUGGCUCCCACUAGCUCCACGAUGAUCUCAUCGGAUGAACCACGAUGUCAAGGAUUCAAUCAAUCCCGUAUAUGAUUCCCUUUGUCUGUCGGUAUAGAACUUGCCCGAGAUUCGAUCGUCGGUAUACCUAUACCUUGUUCAAUCUCGUUACCGGUAAGUCUCUUUACUCGUUCCGUAGCACGUCAUCAUGUGACUAACUCCUUAGUCACAUUGAGCUCAUGAUGAUGUUCUACCGAGUGGGCCCAGAGAUCACSUCWSCNNNNNNNNNNNNNNNNNNNNNNNNNNNNNNNNNNNNNNNNNNNNNNNNNNNNNNNNNNNNNNNNNNNNNNNNNNNNNNNNNNNNNNNNNNNNNNNNNNNNCUGACGUGGGCAUCUUGAGCAACUCCAACCUUGUCACCCAUUUCUUGUGCCCAUGUUCUUUUAAUCUUUGCAAAUAAAAACGGUGACCCAGUUUCAAAUCAUUUCUCCUUCGUGUCCACGACGGUCCAUUUCGAUCUUAAAUUUAAACCAUAUUGAGAUCGGAGGCGGACGCAAAGCAGACUUUUUGCGUCCUCCUCGUUCGGKGYRUCGWCUMYYGCAUAUKUUCAUUUCAGAAAUCCACAUGGCAGCCAAACAUGAAAAUUGGAUUUGGGAACCAAAAUCCCACAAAAUGAAUUCUUUGCAGGUAAGUGUUUUCAUUUCAUUUUCCACCAAAUGAAAUGAAAGACCAGGUGCCAAACGAGCUGAUAGAGUUUAGAAGACAAUCAAUAUGUCGUAUAUACUUUCUAAAAACCUCAGUGGGGAAAACAGAAAAUAUGACAUAUGGUCUUGUGUUGAUAUUACCUCAUUCGUCGUCGUUUUCUCACGACACAAGUCAUGGGUAUUGAUGAAAAAGGGUACUUAUGAAUGGUAAAUAGCUUUGGCAUAUCAUUGUUGUGGCUGUCACGUAGGUAAGAAGGCGUUCUUGCUAGAAACCGAAAUCAGCCACGUAAAACUUGCAACAACAAUUAGAGGACGUCUAACUUGUUUUUGCAGGGUUUGACAUGUGAUGUGAUAUGGCCAAAGUUGUGAUGUUGCAUGUAUGAUGUAUGAGAUGAUCAUGUUAUUGUAAUAGGUUUCACGACUUGCAUGUCGAUGAGUAUGACAACCGGCAGGAGCCAUAGGAGUUGUCUUAAUUUAUUGUAUGAGACGCAAAGCCAUGUGCUUACUACUUUUACUUCAUUGCUAACGGUUAGCCAUAGUAGUAGUGAUAAUAGUAGUUGGCGUGACGACUUCACGAAGACACGAUGAUGGAGAUCAUGGUGUCACGCCGGUGACGAUGAUGAUCAUGCGAUGCCUGAAGAUGGAGAUCGAAUGAGCAAAGAUGAUAUGGNNNNNNNNNNNNNNNNNNNNNNNNNNNNNNNNNNNNNNNNNNNNNNNNNNNNNNNNNNNNNNNNNNNNNNNNNNNNNNNNNNNNNNNNNNNNNNNNNNNNGGCCAUUGAUGACGAGAUGAUGUAUAUACUWGUGAGGCCAUGGGGCAGGGCGGUCGGAGCAGUUGCGGGGGGAGGCGAGGAGCGGCAGCUAGCGGGGGGGAAGGGGAGAGCUCGCUAGAGCGAGGCGAGGUGGUGCGGCCGAGACGGGGCGUGCGGUGGCCGGGAACGCGAAGGGAGGGUCGGAGGCGGAGCUGUGGGGGCUACCGGAGUGAGGGGCGAGGUCGUCGGGAGGCAUCGACGACGGAUCCGGACGGAGGGGAGGAAGAGGAGGGGUGGUCGGGGCCUGUGUGCUCACCACCGAGCAGGGGAGGCAGAGGCUCGAGGGGGAGGACGUUAGCAUGGUGGCGAGGUGGAGGAGGAGGCAACCGGCGACGGAGGCGGUAGGCAGCGGCGGGAAGGAGGGCGCCGGCGUUGGUUGGCGACGUCGAUGGGGCCGGCGGGGAUGGGCCGGUUGGUGGGGUGGAGGCGGCACGCCGCCACGGGGAGCGGGUCACAGGGUUGGGGGGAGAAGUGUGGGG